GCAACUCGACUACAUGAAGCUGGAAUCGCUGUAAUCGCAGAUCAGAAUGCUGCGGUGAAUACGUUCCCGGGUCUUGUACACACCGCCCGUCACACCAUGGGAGUCGGAAAUGCCCGAAGCCGGUGACCCAACCAAAAGGAGGGAGCCGUCGAAGGCAGGUCUGAUAACUGGGGUGAAGUCGUAACAAGGUAGC
RNAcentral lists this ribosomal RNA (193 nucleotides) under uncultured bacterium. Its description in RNAcentral is "partial 16S ribosomal RNA". It matches the Rfam family "Bacterial small subunit ribosomal RNA", at positions 1307 to 1500 of the family's 1533-position model. The record is from RNAcentral.